RNAcentral lists this ribosomal RNA (114 nucleotides) under uncultured bacterium. RNAcentral describes it as "partial 16S ribosomal RNA". It matches the Rfam family "Bacterial small subunit ribosomal RNA", at positions 1360 to 1482 of the family's 1533-position model. The record is from RNAcentral.
CGGUGAAUACGUUCCCGGACCUUGUACACACCGCCCGUCAAGCCAUGGAAGCUGGGUGUACCUAAAGUCGAUAACCGUAAGGAGUCGCCUAGGGUAAAACUAGUGACUGGGGCU